Molecule: ribosomal RNA, 526 nt
Filed under: uncultured bacterium
Lineage: Bacteria
Description: partial 16S ribosomal RNA
Rfam family: Bacterial small subunit ribosomal RNA
Source: RNAcentral
UGGGGAAUAUUGCACAAUGGGCGCAAGCCUGAUGCAGCCAUGCCGCGUGUGUGAAGAAGGCCUUCGGGUUGUAAAGCACUUUCAGCGAGGAGGAAGGUGGUGAACUUAAUACGUUCAUCAAUUGACGUUACUCGCAGAAGAAGCACCGGCUAACUCCGUGCCAGCAGCCGCGGUAAUACGGAGGGUGCAAGCGUUAAUCGGAAUUACUGGGCGUAAAGCGCACGCAGGCGGUUUGUUAAGUCAGAUGUGAAAUCCCCGGGCUCAACCUGGGAACUGCAUUUGAAACUGGCAAGCUAGAGUCUCGUAGAGGGGGGUAGAAUUCCAGGUGUAGCGGUGAAAUGCGUAGAGAUCUGGAGGAAUACCGGUGGCGAAGGCGGCCCCCUGGANGAAGACUGACGCUCAGGUGCGAAAGCGUGGGGAGCAAACAGAUUAGAUACCCUGGUAGUCCACGCUGUAAACGAUGUCGAUUUUGGAGGUUGUGCCCCUGAGGCGUGGNUUCCGGAGCUAACGNGUUAAAUCGACCGCC